RNAcentral lists this ribosomal RNA (498 nucleotides) under uncultured bacterium. RNAcentral's name for it is "partial 16S ribosomal RNA". It matches the Rfam family "Bacterial small subunit ribosomal RNA", at positions 28 to 508 of the family's 1533-position model. The record is from RNAcentral.
GAUGAACGCUGGCGGCGUGCCUAAUACAUGCAAGUCGAGCGAACGGACGAGAAGCUUGCUUCUCUGAUGUUAGCGGCGGACGGGUGAGUAACACGUGGAUAACCUACCUAUAAGACUGGGAUAACUUCGGGAAACCGUAGCUAAUACCGGAUAAUAUUUUGAACCGCAUGGUUCAAAAGUGAAAGACGGUCUUGCUGUCACUUAUAGAUGGAUCCGCGCUGCAUUAGCUAGUUGGUAAGGUAACGGCUUACCAAGGCAACGAUGCAUAGCCGACCUGAGAGGGUGAUCGACCACACUGGAACUGAGACACGGUCCAGACUCCUACGGGAGGCAGCAGUAGGGAAUCUUCCGCAAUGGGCGAAAGCCUGACGGAGCAACGCCGCGUGAGUGAUGAAGGUCUUCGGAUCGUAAAACUCUGUUAUUAGGGAAGAACAUAUGUGUAAGUAACUGUGCACAUCUUGACGGUACCUAAUCAGAAAGCCACGGCUAACUACGUGC